AGCGAACGCUGGCGGCAGGCCUAACACAUGCAAGUCGAACGGAUCCUUCGGGAUUAGUGGCGGACGGGUGAGUAACACGUGGGAACGUGCCCUUUGGUUCGGAACAACUCAGGGAAACUUGAGCUAAUACCGGAUGUGCCCUUCGGGGGAAAGAUUUAUCGCCAUUGGAGCGGCCCGCGUCUGAUUAGCUAGUUGGUGAGGUAACGGCCCACCAAGGCGACGAUCAGUAGCUGGUCUGAGAGGAUGAUCAGCCACACUGGGACUGAGACACGGCCCAGACUCCUACGGGAGGCAGCAGUGGGGAAUCUUGCGCAAUGGGCGAAAGCCUGACGCAGCCAUGCCGCGUGAAUGAUGAAGGUCCUAGGAUUGUAAAAUUCUUUCAGCGGGGACGAUAACGACGGUACCCGCAGAAGAAGCUCCGGCUAACUUCGUG
RNAcentral lists this ribosomal RNA (433 nucleotides) under uncultured bacterium. RNAcentral describes it as "partial 16S ribosomal RNA". It matches the Rfam family "Bacterial small subunit ribosomal RNA", at positions 29 to 507 of the family's 1533-position model. The record is from RNAcentral.